This 1228-nucleotide ribosomal RNA is filed under the name Flavobacterium succinicans. RNAcentral describes it as "bacterial SSU rRNA". It matches the Rfam family "Bacterial small subunit ribosomal RNA", at positions 91 to 1326 of the family's 1533-position model. The record is from RNAcentral. Lineage: Bacteria; Pseudomonadati; Bacteroidota; Flavobacteriia; Flavobacteriales; Flavobacteriaceae.
GAGACCGGCGCACGGGUGCGUAACGCGUAUGCAAUCUACCUUUUGCAGAGGGAUAGCCCAGAGAAAUUUGGAUUAAUACCUCAUAGUAUGUGAGAAUGGCAUCAUUUUCACAUUAAAGUCACAACGGCAAAAGAUGAGCAUGCGUCCCAUUAGCUAGUUGGUAAGGUAACGGCUUACCAAGGCAACGAUGGGUAGGGGUCCUGAGAGGGAGAUCCCCCACACUGGUACUGAGACACGGACCAGACUCCUACGGGAGGCAGCAGUGAGGAAUAUUGGACAAUGGGCGCAAGCCUGAUCCAGCCAUGCCGCGUGCAGGAUGACGGUCCUAUGGAUUGUAAACUGCUUUUGUACAGGAAGAAACACUCCCUCGUGAGGGAGCUUGACGGUACUGUAAGAAUAAGGAUCGGCUAACUCCGUGCCAGCAGCCGCGGUAAUACGGAGGAUCCAAGCGUUAUCCGGAAUCAUUGGGUUUAAAGGGUCCGUAGGCGGUUUAGUAAGUCAGUGGUGAAAGCCCAUCGCUCAACGGUGGAACGGCCAUUGAUACUGCUAGACUUGAAUUAUUAGGAAGUAACUAGAAUAUGUAGUGUAGCGGUGAAAUGCUUAGAGAUUACAUGGAAUACCAAUUGCGAAGGCAGGUUACUACUAAUGGAUUGACGCUGAUGGACGAAAGCGUGGGUAGCGAACAGGAUUAGAUACCCUGGUAGUCCACGCCGUAAACGAUGGAUACUAGCUGUUGGGCGCAAGUUCAGUGGCUAAGCGAAAGUGAUAAGUAUCCCACCUGGGGAGUACGUUCGCAAGAAUGAAACUCAAAGGAAUUGACGGGGGCCCGCACAAGCGGUGGAGCAUGUGGUUUAAUUCGAUGAUACGCGAGGAACCUUACCAAGGCUUAAAUGUAGAUUGACCGGUUUGGAAACAGACUUUUCGCAAGACAAUUUACAAGGUGCUGCAUGGUUGUCGUCAGCUCGUGCCGUGAGGUGUCAGGUUAAGUCCUAUAACGAGCGCAACCCCUGUUGUUAGUUGCCAGCGAGUCAUGUCGGGAACUCUAACGAGACUGCCAGUGCAAACUGUGAGGAAGGUGGGGAUGACGUCAAAUCAUCACGGCCCUUACGCCUUGGGCUACACACGUGCUACAAUGGCCGGUACAGAGAGCAGCCACUGGGUGACCAGGAGCGAAUCUACAAAGCCGGUCACAGUUCGGAUCGGAGUCUGCAACUCGACUCCGUGAAGC